Long non-coding RNA from Amborella trichopoda, 754 nucleotides. RefSeq lists it as uncharacterized. The record is from RefSeq and is a predicted model, not a curated record. Lineage: Eukaryota; Viridiplantae; Streptophyta; Magnoliopsida; Amborellales; Amborellaceae.
CUGCACUGCACUGCACUUUCUAAGCUUCCAUUCUCACCUAAAACAUUCAAAAAACCGAUUUAAAAAUGAGUAAAGGCGAGUCAUCCCCACUAAAUCACCCAAAAAACGAAGAAAGUCUAUCACUCAGCAUAAGAGGCAUGGAAUCCCAAAACUACAAGUACUCUCUCGUGGUUUCUACCGAGGGAUCAAACGAACACAUGGUCCCUCACGAUCAAGAAGUCAUUCGUUGUUGUUGUUCCAAACUCUCAAGGAAAUCAACGCAUUUCUCCACUCCUAGGAGCUUUAAACUCAGAAAUAUACCCAGCCUUCCUCCUGGUUUCAUCUCAUUCCACUUGAUUUUUAGGCAAAAUAAUGAUCCCUUUGGUCUCCCUUCAGCACAAGGGUUUUGCAGCUGCCCACAAAGAGAAUUGAUUGAAGCCUCACAAGUACAGUGUUUAAUAUCAGAGGCUUCUAUGAUGAAUGAUGCAGGUAGUGUAAUAGGGGAGUACAAAUGGUGAAAAGUGAGGAAGAUGGCUCUAAUCAUUUGGAUUAGCAAGAUUUUUAAAUGCGUAAUGCUUGAAAUUUGGGUGUUGAAGUAAAUAUACAAGCGGGUAUAUGCGGGAUGCGGAAAUCUAAGAUCUCAUAAAAUUUUAGAUAUUUGAAACAUUAUAAACUUCAUUUUUUGAUGUUGUUACUUGGGUGACAUUGUUCUUUAUUGUAUGAGUAUAAACUUUUACACAUUUGAAACAAUUAUUUGGGUGACAUUGUUUCAUUA